UCCUACGGGAGGCAGCAGUAGGGAAUCUUCCACAAUGGACGCAAGUCUGAUGGAGCAACGCCGCGUGAGUGAAGAAGGUUUUCGGAUCGUAAAGCUCUGUUGUUGGUGAAGAAAGAUAGUGAGAGUAACUGCUCAUUAUUUGCCGGUAAUCAACCAGAAAGUCACGGCUAACUACGUGCCAGCAGCCGCGGUAAA
This 195-nucleotide ribosomal RNA is filed under the name uncultured Lactobacillus sp. RNAcentral's name for it is "partial 16S ribosomal RNA". It matches the Rfam family "Bacterial small subunit ribosomal RNA", at positions 337 to 524 of the family's 1533-position model. The record is from RNAcentral. Lineage: Bacteria; Bacillati; Bacillota; Bacilli; Lactobacillales; Lactobacillaceae.